CCUACGGGAGGCAGCAGUGGGGAAUAUUGCACAAUGGGCGAAAGCCUGAUGCAGCAACGCCGCGUGAAGGAAGAAGGUCUUCGGAUCGUAAACAUCUGUCCUUGGGGAAGAUAAUGACGGUACCCUUGGAGGAAGCCCCGGCUAACUACGUGCCAGCAGCCGCGGUAAUACGUAGGUGGCAAGCGUUGUCCGGAAUUACUGGGUGUAAAGGGAGCGCAGGCGGGAAGCCAAGUCAGCUGUGAAAACUACGGGCUUAACUUGUAGACUGCAGUUGAAACUGGUUUUCUUGAGUGAAGUAGAGGUUG
RNAcentral lists this ribosomal RNA (305 nucleotides) under uncultured bacterium. RNAcentral describes it as "bacterial SSU rRNA". It matches the Rfam family "Bacterial small subunit ribosomal RNA", at positions 338 to 660 of the family's 1533-position model. The record is from RNAcentral.